RNAcentral lists this ribosomal RNA (256 nucleotides) under uncultured Pseudomonas sp. Its description in RNAcentral is "partial 16S ribosomal RNA". It matches the Rfam family "Bacterial small subunit ribosomal RNA", at positions 96 to 355 of the family's 1533-position model. The record is from RNAcentral. Lineage: Bacteria; Pseudomonadati; Pseudomonadota; Gammaproteobacteria; Pseudomonadales; Pseudomonadaceae.
CGGCGGACGGGUGAGUAAUGCCUAGGAAUCUGCCUGGUAGUGGGGGACAACGUUUCGAAAGGAACGCUAAUACCGCAUACGUCCUACGGGAGAAAGCAGGGACCUUUGGGCCUUGCGCUAUCAGAUGAGCCUAGGUCGGAUUAGCUAGUUGGUGAGGUAAUGGCUCACCAAGGCGACGAUCCGUAACUGGUCUGAGAGGAUGAUCAGUCACACUGGAACUGAGACACGGUCCAGACUCCUACGGGAGGCAGCAGUU